Molecule: long non-coding RNA, 370 nt
Filed under: Pan troglodytes (chimpanzee)
Lineage: Eukaryota; Metazoa; Chordata; Mammalia; Primates; Hominidae
Description: long non-coding RNA NONPTRT015311
Source: RNAcentral
GGAGCAGAAGAGACACGUGUCAUCUCUGAGUUGAGGCUGUUAAGAGCUGGUGCAACUUUCCAUUCUUCUCUUCCCCUCUAGCGGUGACCUGAGAAGCUACAUAUUGACAUGGCGCUACCACGGGUGGAGGAGCCUGCAUUGCUGAAUCACAGGAUGAAGGCGAAUCCCUGCCAGCCUCCAUCCAUCUCUGGGGUGCUUAGCAGAAUCCUCAGCUCACAAGAUGAAUAAAUGCAGACUAAAUGAUGCAAAAAUAAUCUUCACACACAACCAUCAACACACGGAAAGACAGCAGGACGGCCAGAUCCCAAGCUAACAAACAGGGGAAGAUGAUGUUUCAAAUGAUCAUCUGAAUGCUGGGUUUCCACCUUCC